AUUGAACGCUGGCGGCAGGCUUAACACAUGCAAGUCGAGCGGGGUGAUGGUGCUUGCACUAUCACUUAGCGGCGGACGGGUGAGUAAUGCUUAGGAAUCUGCCUAUUAGUGGGGGACAACAUCUCGAAAGGGAUGCUAAUACCGCAUACGUCCUACGGGAGAAAGCAGGGGAUCACUUGUGACCUUGCGCUAAUAGAUGAGCCUAAGUCGGAUUAGCUAGUUGGUGGGGUAAGGGCCUACCAAGGCGACGAUCUGUAGCGGGGCUGAGAGGAUGGUCCGCCACACUGGGACUGCGACACGGCCCAGACUCCUACGGGAGGCAGCAGUGGGGAAUAUUGGACAAUGGGGGGAACCCUGAUCCAGCCAUGCCGCGUGUGUGAAGAAGGCCUUAUGGUUGUAAAGCACUUUAAGCGAGGAGGAGGCUCUUUUGGUUAAUACCCAAGAUGAGUGGACGUUACUCGCAGAAUAAGCACCGGCUAACUCUGUGCCAGCCGCCGCAGUAA
RNAcentral lists this ribosomal RNA (503 nucleotides) under uncultured bacterium. RNAcentral's name for it is "partial 16S ribosomal RNA". It matches the Rfam family "Bacterial small subunit ribosomal RNA", at positions 30 to 523 of the family's 1533-position model. The record is from RNAcentral.